This is a long non-coding RNA of Labeo rohita (rohu), 2030 nucleotides long. RefSeq lists it as uncharacterized. Lineage: Eukaryota; Metazoa; Chordata; Actinopteri; Cypriniformes; Cyprinidae. The record is from RefSeq and is a predicted model, not a curated record. The transcript is spliced from 4 exons.
UGAAAAAACUGCACAAAUGUGCUAAAAACAUUAAUGAACAGAAAAAUGUUUUGUUUAAAAAAAAAAACUAUUAUUUUGUUAGAAAAUUAAAUUCGUUGCGGGGUCUCUGGGGUCUCUAGAAACCCCAAACACCAUGAGUGUACAACCCAAAAUGAAGACUGCAUAAGUGUUAAUAGAUGAAAAAAAAAAAAAAAAAAAAUGUGGAGUUGCGAAGAAAAGUGGUCGUUGGCCAAAAAAAGGCCAACCAAAUCUUUUCAGAAUUCCAUGCCAGCCCGUAUGGAGCACACCGCGGAACAGAAAAGACCAAGCUAGCCAUUUCAUCCAGAUUUUACUGGCCUGGAAUGGGGGUGGAGAUCGAUAAAUGGGUAAAUAUGAAAAUAUUCCUUUCAGCUUUGAAGUGAGAUACAAAUGGAUUAUGUUUUAGAUUGUUUUUCUCAUGUACUUAUUUCUGAAUAUCAGGUUUUGCAGUGUGCAGACUGCCAAUUUAGCAGGCUGUCCAUUAAGCAGGAGCCCAAGGACAUCCCAAUAAGUGUUGUGAAUAAGUCUCUGGAACUUCUGGGUAUGGACCUCGUGGGCAAAGUCACCAGGACAAAAAAUGGAAAUGAGUACAUCUGUGUCCUGGUUGACUACUAUACCAAAUGGGCCAAGGCCUAUGCGAUUCCGAAUAAAUCGGCUGCAGUCAUCUAUCGCUGCAUCAUCAACUUCUUUUACAGGUUUGGGGCACCAAAGAGGAUAUUCUACCCCCCUACUGCUACCCUCCUACUUCCUGCUAAAGCAUGUUGGGCGGUGACUUCCUGUCAGUUACUCCCUGUAGCUGCAAGAAGCAAUAAUUUCACAGACAGUAGUUUCAAGACCAAGACAAGAGCAACAACCAGAGGAUUUUUCAUGUGAAUUUCGUAGACCACUGGACCAGAAACUUCCCCGGCAGGAGAAACCAAAAAGGGUCAUCGUUGUGUUGCAUAUGAAGAAUGGCUCCUACAAACGUUAUAGCCGUAUUUAAAUUUCUGUCCAAAGAUGAAAUCAGGAUAACUGGUCCACUCAUAGUUUUGUUAUUGGGUUUUCAAAUAAUAAUGGAUAUAAAAUUUUCAUGCCCAUGUAGUCUUUGGUGGAAUCAAUUCACAGCAGCUUUCAUCUAUUUGGUACCUGCUGCCUUUGUUACUCUUAUAAUGUUCCUAUUUCUACUGUAUAGAGUACAGAAGACCAACAAAACAUCUGAAGCACAAGACGGCACAACACAUUCCACAUCUCAGUCUAAAGAAACUGAGCUAAAUUGUUCUACAUUCUGUUUUUGUCUGGUUCCGUCUGUGGUGUGGCUCUGCAUAUUUUUCAUUGAUGGAGAUUAUAUUGCAUGUGGACUUACAUACUGGAAUGGACACUAUGCUUGUGAUAAGCAACUACAUCCAAAUUGUAUAAACUGGUGCAAACCUACACGAUUCAGCCCAGAAACAAAUGACACUGAGCUAUAUGUGCAAACACAGAAGUAUAUUAAUGGAUCAAAGGUUACAGGUUAUAUUCUGGCUCUUCUCUCCUGCAUUACAGCAAUUUGUUUGACUGUUUUCAACAUCAAAAAAGAUGAAGAGAGUAGGGAACAGCAAGCCCCACCAGUCAAUGUGAAUAAUAGUAGAGCCAGUGGCUCAACACACUCUGUGGAUAAUACAGACCAACGAAGCCCUACAGUGAAUAGGCCACAACAGAUGCAAAGCAAUGACAGCAAUGACCAGAUUAACUCUGCACACCCUGAGAACCACCCCCUUUGCCAUGAUUCAAGAGUUUAAAUUGAGAGAAAUCACAACCUGCUCUGAAAAAAAACUGAUCUUAGAAUUAUAAUUAUAAAUAAUUUACUGUUUCUGUGUCACUUAAUGUAGUUUUGAAGGUUUUUUUUUUCUUUUUCUUUUUUUAUGUCUGUUCUGCUGUUUGAGAUCCAUUUGAUUUGUGAGUGUGCGUUUUAAUUUCUCAUGUUUCAAUUCAUUAACUGUUUUUGUUGUUGUAACUAAUCAUCCUAUUUGAUAAUAGGUUAUCAAAGUGCUUUG